This is a non-coding RNA of Apodemus sylvaticus (European woodmouse), 664 nucleotides long. NCBI's taxonomy places the organism in Eukaryota, Metazoa, Chordata, Mammalia, Rodentia, Muridae. The record is from the annotation of a RefSeq genome assembly.
GCUUGUCAGCACACCUGAAAGCUCUAGAACAAAAAGAAGCAAAUACACCCAAGAGGAGCAGGGCUUCUUUUGUUUUUUUGUUUUUGUUUUUGUUUUUUGUUUUUGGAGAUCAGUGUUCACUUUUGAAAGGUGAUCCUUUGAGCAGUGACGGAGACAGUGGUGUCAUCACAAGCCCAUGAUCCCCCUUGGGGAUACAGAGCUCCCAGAGACUUCAGCCUGGGCUUCUCUCACUUAUGUGGAGUUUCUGUGAGUGAAGCCACUUCCUCAUCUUGCCAUGGCCUCGAGGCUCCUUUUCUGCCUGGUCCUUUGUUUCUUGAGAGCAGAACCAACAAAUGCUGGUGUCACCCAAACACCUAGGCACAAGGUGACACAGAAGGGACAAGAAGCAACUCUGAGGUGUGAGCCAAUUUCAGGACAUAAUGCUGUUUUCUGGUACAGACAGACCAUUGUGCAAGGCCUGGAGUUCCUGACUUACUUUAGCAACCAAGCUCCUAUAGAUGAUUCAGGGAUGCCCAAGGAUCGAUUCUCAGCUCAGAUGCCCAAUCAGUCGCUUUCAACUCUGAAGAUCCAGACCACACAACCCCAGGACUCAGCUGUGUAUCUUUGUGCCAGCAGCUUAGACACAGAGCUACAGAAUCAUAUUCUGCUGAGGCAGAAACCAUAA